UUCAUCGAUGGCCUGCCUCAGUCGGGAAGCGUCAAUUGCAUGUUGGUCAUCAUGGAUAAAUUGACAAAAUUUGCUCACUUCCUGCCCCUGGCGCAUCCCUAUAUAGCUUCAAAGGUGGCACUUCUUUAUACGAACCAUGUCUUCUGGCUCCAUGGAUUCCCAGGCUCAAUCAUCUCCGACCGUGACCCAGUUUUUACUAGCCACUUCUGGCAGGAGUUGUUCAAGUAUGCAAGAACAUGACUCGGCAUUAGCUCAGCUAACCACCCACAGACGGACCGCCAAACAGAGCGUGUCAACCAGUGUUUGGAAACCUUUCUUCGCUGCUUCACACAUAUGUCCUCGUCCCUGAAGUUUUUGGAUUCCCUUGGCCCAAUUUUGGUGCAAUCCCUCUUACCACUCAAUUGUUGGCAUGUAUCCUUCCGGGCUAUGUAUGGGCAUGAGCCACGUCAGUGGGGUAUUACCGCAACCAACGCCUGCUCGGUGCUGGCUCUGUGCUCUUGCCUUGAUGAGCGCGCAGUAGUGCAAGAAUUACUGCAACAACACCUUCAUCGCGCUCGGCAGUGCAUGAAACAUCAGGCUGGCAAGAAGGGGUCAGUUCGAACCUUUGCUGUGGGUGAUCAAGUUUACCUGAAGCUGCAGCCCUAUGUGCAAACAUCAGUGGCCGCACACGAUUGUCACAAGUUAUCCUUUAGAUUCUUCGGACACUACAAGAUCAUCAGUUGUAUCAACCCUGUGGCCUACAAACUUCAGUUGCCGGAUCAUUCACAAGUGCACCCGGUCUUCCACGUCUGCCAACUGCGCAAGGCUCUUCUCCCAGGUACAACAACAUCACCGGACCUUCCUACUCACUUUGACAUUCCUGCAGUUCCUGGAGCGAUCGUGGACCAACGUUGGCGCAAGCGUCGUGGCGCCAUGGUGGUGCAGGUCCUUGUUCGCUGGUCCAACCCAGCAGCAGUCGCUGACUCCUGGGAAGAUCGUGUGGCGAUGCAGAGGCUUGGGGUCAAGCCUCAUCUCAAGGAACGAGGAUAUCAACACCCCUGA
This 1041-nucleotide ribosomal RNA is filed under the name Triticum aestivum (bread wheat). RNAcentral describes it as "partial small subunit ribosomal RNA". The record is from RNAcentral. Lineage: Eukaryota; Viridiplantae; Streptophyta; Magnoliopsida; Poales; Poaceae.